Molecule: ribosomal RNA, 434 nt
Filed under: uncultured bacterium
Lineage: Bacteria
Description: partial 16S ribosomal RNA
Rfam family: Bacterial small subunit ribosomal RNA
Source: RNAcentral
AGCGAACGCUGGCGGCAGGCCUAACACAUGCAAGUCGAACGAACUCUUCGGAGUUAGUGGCGGACGGGUGAGUAACACGUGGGAACGUGCCUUUUGGUUCGGAAUAACUCAGGGAAACUUGUGCUAAUACCGAAUGUGCCCUUCGGGGGAAAGAUUUAUCGCCAUUAGAGCGGCCCGCGUCUGAUUAGCUAGUUGGUGAGGUAACGGCUCACCAAGGCGACGAUCAGUAGCUGGUCUGAGAGGAUGACCAGCCACACUGGGACUGAGACACGGCCCAGACUCCUACGGGAGGCAGCAGUGGGGAAUCUUGCGCAAUGGGCGAAAGCCUGACGCAGCCAUGCCGCGUGAAUGAUGAAGGUCUUAGGAUUGGAAAAUUCUUUCACCGGGGACGAUAAUGACGGUACCCGGAGAAGAAGCCCCGGCUAACUUCGUGC